AGGGAAUCUUCCGCAAUGGACGAAAGUCUGACGGAGCAACGCCGCGUGAGUGAUGAAGGUUUUCGGAUCGUAAAGCUCUGUUGCCAGGGAAGAACGUCCUGUAGAGUAACUGCUACAGGAGUGACGGUACCUGAGAAGAAAGCCCCGGCUAACUACGUGCCAGCAGCCGCGGUAAUACGUAGGGGGCAAGCGUUGUCCGGAAUUAUUGGGCGUAAAGCGCGCGCAGGCGGCUGUUUAAGUCUGGUGUUUAAUCCUGGGGCUCAACCCCGGGUCGCACUGGAAACUGGACAGCUUGAGUGCAGAAGAGGAGAGUGGAAUUCCACGUGUAGCGGUGAAAUGCGUAGAGAUGUGGAGGAACACCAGUGGCGAAGGCGGCUCUCUGGUCUGUAACUGACGCUGAGGCGCGAAAGCGUGGGGAGCAAAC
RNAcentral lists this ribosomal RNA (424 nucleotides) under uncultured bacterium. RNAcentral describes it as "bacterial SSU rRNA". It matches the Rfam family "Bacterial small subunit ribosomal RNA", at positions 356 to 773 of the family's 1533-position model. The record is from RNAcentral.